CCUACGGGGGGCAGCAGUCGAGAAUCAUUCACAAUAGGGGAAACCCUGAUGGUGCGACGCCGCGUGGGGGAAUGAAGGUCUUCGGAUUGUAAACCCCUGUCAUGUGGGAGCAAAUUAAAAAGAUAGUACCACAAGAGGAAGAGCCGGCUAACUCUGUGCCAGCAGCCGCGGUCAUACAGAGGUCUCAAGCGUUGUUCGGAAUCACUGGGCGUAAAGCGUGCGUAGGCUGUUUCGUAAGUCGUGUGUGAAAGGCGCGGGCUCAACCCGCGGACGGCACAUGAUACUGCGAGACUAGAGUAAUGGAGGGGGAACCGGAAUUCGCGGUGUAGCAGUGAAAUGCGUAGAUAUCGAGAGGAACACUCGUGGCGAAGGCGGGUUCCUGGACAUUAACUGACGCUGAGGCACGAAGGCCAGGGGAGCGAAAGGGAUUAGAUACCCGUGUAGUC
RNAcentral lists this ribosomal RNA (446 nucleotides) under uncultured bacterium. Its description in RNAcentral is "partial 16S ribosomal RNA". It matches the Rfam family "Bacterial small subunit ribosomal RNA", at positions 338 to 795 of the family's 1533-position model. The record is from RNAcentral.